RNAcentral lists this long non-coding RNA (1100 nucleotides) under Chrysemys picta bellii (western painted turtle). RNAcentral's name for it is "lncRNA (ENSCPBG00000015407.1)". The record is from RNAcentral. Lineage: Eukaryota; Metazoa; Chordata; Testudines; Emydidae.
ACAAUUCAGGGUAAACCAGGCCAUUAAAUUAAUAAAUAAAUUAAUAAAAAAUCAGAAGAAGCCUGGCAACCCGCAGCUGUGGAAACCAGGAAAUCAGGUAAUGUAUCUGAAGUUGGGCAAAAGGGAUCACACCCUGGAGUCAAAAUGGAUGGGACCAUACUCCAUAGUGGAUCACCUCAGUCCACUCAAGUACUGUAUUAAUAAGAAUGGCACGUUAAAAUGGGUCCACAUGUCACAAAUUAAAUUGUUUGAAUAAAAUUCCCUUUUUAUACCAGUAUGUUUGCACCCUAGGUCACUGAUGCCUUUCAAACACUAGGAUCCCUGGAUGUGGUGCCUGUUUAUCGUUCUCCUCACAGGAUUAUUAGUCGCCGCACUGUGCUGCUGGUAUCCUCCGUGCUGUGGAAGGUCCCUGGAUAAUCCUAACCAGCCUGCCUUACAAAUUCAAUUCUUCGGAAAUUCUAUUGGAUCCCGAAAACAUCCUGAACUUCAAUGCCGACGCCAACCCAACCCAACACCUGAAAGAGCUUGGGAAAGGUAAAACACUUACUGGAACAUCCACAUCCCCACGCAAACACCACUCACAAACAAUUCACACCCCAUGGGCCCCAAUCCAGAAGCCAGCUAUUCGCUUACAUUGGAUACACCUAUCUACAAACCACACUAUAUCUUCCUUUGAAAACACCCAUGUGUAUGUGGGGGAAGGAAACCUUGGGUUGCAGGUCUUCAUAGACGUCCCACCAGGGAGGAAAAAAAAUUGGUUGGUAGGAAUCCGGGUGGAAGGAUAUGUAGGAAACACUACAACAAUCUCCAAGUAUCCCUCUCUGCCCUACAUAUGGUGAGGUCAGGAACACUGGUUACUGUCCUUGUAGUUUAUUGUCCUAGGCAUAUUCAGAAGGUCACGUUCCCAGAUGAAUGCAACUGGGUGUGGAAAAAAAAGCAUUUGUUCAUAAAAAACACUCCAAUAUCGGUACCUAAACCCCAGCUGUUUAAAAUGAAAACCAGCCCUGUGCUAGUCUUGGUUAGCCCCCUCUUGGUAGAAGUUAAAGUAACAAUGAAUUGAACAUGUUUAAAUGUUUCUAAGGUGGAGCCCAAGUGUGCUC